Molecule: transfer RNA, 93 nt
Filed under: Staphylococcus aureus
Lineage: Bacteria; Bacillati; Bacillota; Bacilli; Caryophanales; Staphylococcaceae
Description: tRNA-Ser
Rfam family: tRNA
About the family: Transfer RNA (tRNA) molecules are approximately 80 nucleotides in length.
Source: RNAcentral
GGAGGAAUACCCAAGUCCGGCUGAAGGGAUCGGUCUUGAAAACCGACAGAGCCUUAACGAGCCGCGGGGGUUCGAAUCCCUCUUCCUCCGCCA